RNAcentral lists this long non-coding RNA (249 nucleotides) under Linum usitatissimum (flax). Its description in RNAcentral is "long non-coding RNA (LUSI_LNC000637)". Lineage: Eukaryota; Viridiplantae; Streptophyta; Magnoliopsida; Malpighiales; Linaceae. The record is from RNAcentral.
GAAAUUUCGGUGUUUGAGCCUGGGGAUGUCAUGUUUCCUUGUGGAAUUAGUCCAGGGAGGCUUUUCAUGGAGUGCCUUAGCCUGACGAGCUCCAGUUCCAAAUUGGAUUACGAUGACGAGGGUACCAUUGAUGAUCGGAGUAGUCACAUUUCCAGCUGCAAAAGCACCGCAAAGUGUGGUUUGAGCAAAGGGCUAAGCCGGUUUAGCUCUUCGAGUCUAGCUCAAGGAGAGGCAGCUAGUCUAUUUGGU